Dromaius novaehollandiae (emu) is the source of this 345-nucleotide long non-coding RNA. RefSeq lists it as uncharacterized. NCBI's taxonomy places the organism in Eukaryota, Metazoa, Chordata, Aves, Casuariiformes, Dromaiidae. The transcript is spliced from 3 exons. The record is from RefSeq and is a predicted model, not a curated record.
CUGUUUCUCAAGGACACUAACCACAUGCUCAACUCUCAGCUGAUCUCCUGUUUUUACUUUGUUAUAUAUCUGGAAGGGGGACACAAAUACAAGUUUACAGCUGCAACUGAAAAUCACCUCUCCUUACCACAGAGUUUCAGAUUUGAUUGCGAGGUGAAGAACAGAAGUUCCCCUGACAGCUUAAGAACGUGUUGCUCAAAGAUGGGGCACUGCAGUAACCAGAAAGAGGAAAGAAAGGGCAAGUUUCAGGUUCACUUCUGAGCUUGUUUCCAAGGGACACUAACUGCACAAAUGAACCCAGCAACAGCUGAAAGAAAAUCAAGUUCUGUUGUUUAGAAGGAAGUC